GCACGUAUGGUGUCAGUGGCUAGCAUUCCUGCCUUCCAAGCAGAUGGGGUGAGUUCGAGUCUCACUACGUGCUCCA
RNAcentral lists this transfer RNA (76 nucleotides) under Candidatus Ventrenecus avicola. RNAcentral's name for it is "tRNA-Gly". It matches the Rfam family "tRNA". Rfam says of the family: Transfer RNA (tRNA) molecules are approximately 80 nucleotides in length. Their secondary structure includes four short double-helical elements and three loops (D, anti-codon, and T loops). The record is from RNAcentral.